This 2899-nucleotide ribosomal RNA is filed under the name Klebsiella pneumoniae. RNAcentral's name for it is "bacterial LSU rRNA". It matches the Rfam family "Bacterial large subunit ribosomal RNA". Lineage: Bacteria; Pseudomonadati; Pseudomonadota; Gammaproteobacteria; Enterobacterales; Enterobacteriaceae. The record is from RNAcentral.
UUAAGCGACUAAGCGUACACGGUGGAUGCCCUGGCAGUCAGAGGCGAUGAAGGACGUGCUAAUCUGCGAAAAGCGUCGGUAAGGUGAUAUGAACCGUUAUAACCGGCGAUGUCCGAAUGGGGAAACCCAGUGCAAUUCGUUGCACUAUCGUUAACUGAAUACAUAGGUUAACGAGGCGAACCGGGGGAACUGAAACAUCUAAGUACCCCGAGGAAAAGAAAUCAACCGAGAUUCCCCCAGUAGCGGCGAGCGAACGGGGAGCAGCCCAGAGUCUGAAUCAGCUUGUGUGUUAGUGGAACGGUCUGGAAAGUCCGACGGUACAGGGUGAUAGUCCCGUACACCAAAAUGCACAGGCUGUGAACUCGAAGAGUAGGGCGGGACACGUGGUAUCCUGUCUGAAUAUGGGGGGACCAUCCUCCAAGGCUAAAUACUCCUGACUGACCGAUAGUGAACCAGUACCGUGAGGGAAAGGCGAAAAGAACCCCGGCGAGGGGAGUGAAAAAGAACCUGAAACCGUGUACGUACAAGCAGUGGGAGCACCUUCGGGUGUGACUGCGUACCUUUUGUAUAAUGGGUCAGCGACUUAUAUUCUGUAGCAAGGUUAACCGUAUAGGGGAGCCGCAGGGAAACCGAGUCUUAACUGGGCGUUAAGUUGCAGGGUAUAGACCCGAAACCCGGUGAUCUAGCCAUGGGCAGGUUGAAGGUUGGGUAACACUAACUGGAGGACCGAACCGACUAAUGUUGAAAAAUUAGCGGAUGACUUGUGGCUGGGGUGAAAGGCCAAUCAAACCGGGAGAUAGCUGGUUCUCCCCGAAAGCUAUUUAGGUAGCGCCUCGUGAAUUCAUCUUCGGGGGUAGAGCACUGUUUCGGCUAGGGGGUCAUCCCGACUUACCAACCCGAUGCAAACUACGAAUACCGAAGAAUGUUAUCACGGGAGACACACGGCGGGUGCUAACGUCCGUCGUGAAGAGGGAAACAACCCAGACCGCCAGCUAAGGUCCCAAAGUCAUGGUUAAGUGGGAAACGAUGUGGGAAGGCACAGACAGCCAGGAUGUUGGCUUAGAAGCAGCCAUCAUUUAAAGAAAGCGUAAUAGCUCACUGGUCGAGUCGGCCUGCGCGGAAGAUGUAACGGGGCUAAACCAUGCACCGAAGCUGCGGCAGCGACACUAUGUGUUGUUGGGUAGGGGAGCGUUCUGUAAGCCUGCGAAGGUGACCUGUGAGGGUUGCUGGAGGUAUCAGAAGUGCGAAUGCUGACAUAAGUAACGAUAAAGCGGGUGAAAAGCCCGCUCGCCGGAAGACCAAGGGUUCCUGUCCAACGUUAAUCGGGGCAGGGUGAGUCGACCCCUAAGGCGAGGCCGAAAGGCGUAGUCGAUGGGAAACAGGUUAAUAUUCCUGUACUUGGUGUUACUGCGAAGGGGGGACGGAGAAGGCUAUGUUAGCCGGGCGACGGUUGUCCCGGUUUAAGCAUGUAGGCUGGUUAUCCAGGCAAAUCCGGAUAAUCAAGGCUGAGGUGUGAUGACGAGGCACUACGGUGCUGAAGUAACAAAUGCCCUGCUUCCAGGAAAAGCCUCUAAGCAUCAGGUAACAUCAAAUCGUACCCCAAACCGACACAGGUGGUCAGGUAGAGAAUACCAAGGCGCUUGAGAGAACUCGGGUGAAGGAACUAGGCAAAAUGGUGCCGUAACUUCGGGAGAAGGCACGCUGGUGUGUAGGUGAAGCCCCUGCGGGUGGAGCUGAGACCAGUCGAAGAUACCAGCUGGCUGCAACUGUUUAUUAAAAACACAGCACUGUGCAAACACGAAAGUGGACGUAUACGGUGUGACGCCUGCCCGGUGCCGGAAGGUUAAUUGAUGGGGUUAUCCGUAAGGAGAAGCUCUUGAUCGAAGCCCCGGUAAACGGCGGCCGUAACUAUAACGGUCCUAAGGUAGCGAAAUUCCUUGUCGGGUAAGUUCCGACCUGCACGAAUGGCGUAAUGAUGGCCAGGCUGUCUCCACCCGAGACUCAGUGAAAUUGAACUCGCUGUGAAGAUGCAGUGUACCCGCGGCAAGACGGAAAGACCCCGUGAACCUUUACUAUAGCUUGACACUGAACAUUGAGCCUUGAUGUGUAGGAUAGGUGGGAGGCUUUGAAGCGUGGACGCCAGUCUGCGUGGAGCCAACCUUGAAAUACCACCCUUUAAUGUUUGAUGUUCUAACGUUGGCCCCUUAUCGGGGUUGCGGACAGUGUCUGGUGGGUAGUUUGACUGGGGCGGUCUCCUCCCAAAGCGUAACGGAGGAGCACGAAGGUUAGCUAAUCCUGGUCGGACAUCAGGAGGUUAGUGCAAUGGCAUAAGCUAGCUUGACUGCGAGCGUGACGGCGCGAGCAGGUGCGAAAGCAGGUCAUAGUGAUCCGGUGGUUCUGAAUGGAAGGGCCAUCGCUCAACGGAUAAAAGGUACUCCGGGGAUAACAGGCUGAUACCGCCCAAGAGUUCAUAUCGACGGCGGUGUUUGGCACCUCGAUGUCGGCUCAUCACAUCCUGGGGCUGAAGUAGGUCCCAAGGGUAUGGCUGUUCGCCAUUUAAAGUGGUACGCGAGCUGGGUUUAGAACGUCGUGAGACAGUUCGGUCCCUAUCUGCCGUGGGCGCUGGAGAAUUGAGGGGGGCUGCUCCUAGUACGAGAGGACCGGAGUGGACGCAUCACUGGUGUUCGGGUUGUCAUGCCAAUGGCACUGCCCGGUAGCUAAAUGCGGAAGAGAUAAGUGCUGAAAGCAUCUAAGCACGAAACUUGCCCCGAGAUGAGUUCUCCCUGAGACUAUAAGUCUCCUGAAGGAACGUUAAAGACGAUGACGUUGAUAGGCCGGGUGUGUAAGCGCAGCGAUGCGUUGAGCUAACCGGUACUAAUGAACCGUGAGGCUUAACCUU